This is a long non-coding RNA of Poecilia reticulata (guppy), 1604 nucleotides long. RefSeq lists it as uncharacterized. The record is from RefSeq and is a predicted model, not a curated record. Lineage: Eukaryota; Metazoa; Chordata; Actinopteri; Cyprinodontiformes; Poeciliidae.
GUGGAGCUCCAUAGAGCGGCAAAGUGAGAAGGAUGGAAAAGCCACAUACUGGACACAUAUUUUGUUCGUCUUGGAGAUGAAGCGGAGUUUUUUGUUGGCAGCGAUUCAGACCCGCCAAAAACUACCAGCCCAGCCAGGAAGCCAGGAUAGUUAAACAGUGAUAACUAAACCCUACGAUUAGGAUUCACUGCAGUCGCUGUUGUCACCCGUUGCCUAAGAGCCUUGACAGACUGUGGCGCAUGUGCGCAACUGCGUGUCUUGUGGCGGCAUCAAAGCUGAUGAAGGACCCGUUUCGCCGUGUGAUGAAAGAUGAGAGACAAUACUCUUUCCUCAGGGAGGGAUGAAGAUUGAGAAAUUAAGAACAAUUAGACGCCCUUACCUGCGUAGAGGUUUAAUAUUCACAUCAGGAAGACUCAGAUGCCUGUAAGGACCUCCUAAGAAGCUGAAGCAUUAUUCAUUUAUUCGCUGACGUUCUUACACGGACACACAUCACUUCCUAAUUUUCCACCAGGGACGCUCAGCUUUUUUCAUCAGGACUUUCCACGUAUGCAGAUGAACUGUGAGCUGCAACCUUGACGGGGUCGUCAGCCACAAUGUUUGGAGUCACCAGAGGGCAGGAGUCCGGUCUCUUCACAGCUCCCGUCUGCGACUAAAUUGCUUCGUAUAUUGUGGCGAACAGCUCCAGAUGCUCCGAGUCACCUUGAGACAGCGGCCUCCAAUUCUAAAAAGGGGAUGGAGACAAAGAAAAAGGGAAAACAUAAGAUAAGUGGGCCAGCGACAAAGGUGUUGUUAAAGUGGAAAGUAAGGUUUUAGAGUGGAGAAGAUACAAAGGAGAAAUAUAAUUCAUGAAAUGCAUGAAAGCCUGUGUUUUUCUACUAUAUUUUGGGCAUAUGGAUAUUUAAUUUUAAGACUAAAAUGCAGGACAAUGUCUAAAUGUUUUACAAAGUAGAAUUGAUUUAUUUAUUUUUUUUGUACAUUUUGGAAAAUAUGAUUGAAAUUAGUGCGCCUGUGCCCUGUUGUAGAGAUAUUUGAUUAUUUACCUGUUAUCUUUCCCUUCAUCUGUGAAAAUUCAAGCACUUUUUAAAAAAAGUUUUAAAUAGCUUUCCUUAGGGGACUCCUCCACACUUAAGUUUUAGGAAAUUAAAAUAUAAAAGUGUUUAUGAUGCACGUUUUAUUUCAUAUCUGAUGCACAAACUAACCAAAUCAAACUGAGAAAGGAGGGAAAACCAGAUGAAGCAACAACAGCUGGGUGGAAAGUUGAGAUGAAAGAGUAAAAGAAAGUCAUGAGAGCAAAGAAAAGUAAGGAGACAACAUCUUUCCAGUUUGAGAUGAAAAAAAAAGGAUAAUCAUUAAAAUUGUCUGGCGAUGAUGAAGGAACCAAAGAAAUUCAGUUGAGAAAAAGUCACAAGAUCUCACACGUCAUCCUUUCCGAUUGAACCAAUUGCAGCCUUACGAUGGCGUCAUUAAAGAGAUAUUCACCAGCACAAAAAACGGCAAACUAUUUCAGCGACAUACAUUCAGAAACGUGACGUAAACGACAGCUGCUCUGGUUGUUUUGACUUCCACUUGCACAUUAACCAAAUCAUCAAAGCAGCACAAAAUUC